UUGAUUCUUAAUGAUGCAGCUCCACCCC
Molecule: small RNA, 28 nt
Filed under: Bombyx mori (domestic silkworm)
Lineage: Eukaryota; Metazoa; Arthropoda; Insecta; Lepidoptera; Bombycidae
Description: ovarian small RNA-37768
Source: RNAcentral